UACGUAGGGUGCGAGCGUUAAUCGGAAUUACUGGGCGUAAAGCGUGCGCAGGCGGUUUGCUAAGACCGAUGUGAAAUCCCCGGGCUCAACCUGGGAACUGCAUUGGUGACUGGCAGGCUAGAGUAUGGCAGAGGGGGGUAGAAUUCCACGUGUAGCAGUGAAAUGCGUAGAGAUGUGGAGGAAUACCGAUGGCGAAGGCAGCCCCCUGGGCCAAUACUGACGCUCAUGCACGAAAGCGUGGGGAGCAAACAGG
This 253-nucleotide ribosomal RNA is filed under the name uncultured bacterium. RNAcentral describes it as "partial 16S ribosomal RNA". It matches the Rfam family "Bacterial small subunit ribosomal RNA", at positions 524 to 776 of the family's 1533-position model. The record is from RNAcentral.